CUGCAAACUGUACUGCUGGGAAUGCCUAUUAUUUGCAAGUGAUCGAUUUGGUGUUUGGAGCCACACUGGCUUUGCAAACCUGAGUUGUCUAACCAAGGUAGCAACGAGACACCAAAGUACGGCUGGGCACUUACAAACAAUGGUGCUUUUGAAAACUUUUGGGGACACCCGAGUGGAUCUACAGCUCAACGAACAAGCGCGCAGGGCAACGAAGCUGCACAAUGAAAAGCAAAGCCCUGAACAGGAUGUUUGUAUACAACCACAAGCAGUCAGAGUGGAGGGAGCUGGCUGCCAUGAAGACUGCUGCACCUCACUGCUGCAUCUGAAGUCUACGACUUUGGAACAAACAAAUGGGAAACCUUCAGUCUUUCCCCAGGAGAGGAGCUCAGUGAACCUGCUGAGCAGUGAGGGGCUUCACCAUCAUCCAGAAUGACAACAAUGAGGUGAUCCCCAAUGUUGGCAGUACGAGGAGGACAAGAAGGAAUGGAGCGGGAUGCUGAGGGAGAUGCGUUACGCCGUUGGCUCCUCCUGCGUAUCCAUGCGCCUCAAUGCUACCAAGAUGCCCAAACUCUAGACCCUCGCUGCCCCAUCAUAUUUCCCCAUGAUGCACUCUGUCUGCCUGGAUUACCACCAUCUUCUCUGGGUUGUCUUUCCAUUUCAGUAAUAGAGGUGGUGGCACCGUCACAUGACAACUCAAAUGUGGACUCUUAUUGGUUGAUUGUGUUGAGUUUCAAAUAGUCAAUUUAUGAUCUCAGGUGAUUUUCGGUACAAUAAAAACAACAUCUACUUUGCGUCAGUGAAGACCGCAUCAGUAUAUUAGUUUCCCUCACUAUAGAGUAACCCACAAUGUGUA
Molecule: long non-coding RNA, 853 nt
Organism: Oncorhynchus masou masou (cherry salmon)
Lineage: Eukaryota; Metazoa; Chordata; Actinopteri; Salmoniformes; Salmonidae
Exons: 4
Source: RefSeq, a predicted model, not a curated record